Molecule: ribosomal RNA, 497 nt
Filed under: uncultured bacterium
Lineage: Bacteria
Description: partial 16S ribosomal RNA
Rfam family: Bacterial small subunit ribosomal RNA
Source: RNAcentral
GACGAACGCUGGCGGCGUGCCUAAUACAUGCAAGUUGAGCGCUGAAGGUUGGUACUUGUACCCACUGGAUGAGCAGCGAACGGGUGAGUAACGCGUGGGGAAUCUGCCUUUGAGCGGGGGACAACAUUUGGAAACGAAUGCUAAUACCGCAUAAAAACUUUAAACACAAGUUUUAAGUUUGAAAGAUGCAAUUGCAUCACUCAAAGAUGAUCCCGCGUUGUAUUAGCUAGUUGGUGAGGUAAAGGCUCACCAAGGCGAUGAUACAUAGCCGACCUGAGAGGGUGAUCGGCAACAUUGGGACUGAGACACGGCCCAAACUCCUGCGGGAGGCAGCAGUAGGGAAUCUUCGGCAAUGGACGAAAGUCUGACCGAGCAACGCCGCGUGAGUGAAGAAGGUUUUCGGAUCGUAAAACUCUGUUGGUAGAGAAGAACGUUGGUGAGAGUGGAAAGCUCAUCAAGUGACGGUAACUACCCAGAAAGGGACGGCUAACUACGUG